Molecule: ribosomal RNA, 506 nt
Filed under: uncultured bacterium
Lineage: Bacteria
Description: partial 16S ribosomal RNA
Rfam family: Bacterial small subunit ribosomal RNA
Source: RNAcentral
AGUGAACGCUGGCGGUAGGCCUAACACAUGCAAGUCGAACGGCAGCACAGGAGAGCUUGCUCUCUGGGUGGCGAGUGGCGGACGGGUGAGGAAUACAUCGGAAUCUACUCUGUCGUGGGGGAUAACGUAGGGAAACUUACGCUAAUACCGCAUACGACCUACGGGUGAAAGCCGGGGAUCUUCGGACCUUGCGCGAUUGAAUGAGCCGGUGUCGGAUUAGCUAGUUGGCGGGGUAAAGGCCCACCAAGGCGACGAUCCGUAGCCGGUCUGAGAGGAUGAUCAGCCACACUGGAACUGAGACACGGUCCAGACUCCUACGGGAGGCAGCAGUGGGGAAUAUUGGACAAUGGGCGCAAGCCUGAUCCAGCCAUACCGCGUGGGUGAAGAAGGCCUUCGGGUUGUAAAGCCCUUUUGUUGGGAAAGAAAUCCAGCUGGCUAAUACCCGGUUGGGAUGACGGUACCCAAAGAAUAAGCACCGGCUAACUUCGUGCCAGCCGCCGCCGUAA